Molecule: ribosomal RNA, 682 nt
Filed under: Streptomyces sp.
Lineage: Bacteria; Bacillati; Actinomycetota; Actinomycetes; Kitasatosporales; Streptomycetaceae
Description: bacterial SSU rRNA
Rfam family: Bacterial small subunit ribosomal RNA
Source: RNAcentral
UCUGGGACAAGCCCUGGAAACGGGGUCUAAUACCGGAUAAUACUUGCCGAGGCAUCUCGGUGGGUUGAAAGCUCCGGCGGUGAAGGAUGAGCCCGCGGCCUAUCAGCUUGUUGGUGAGGUAGAAGCUCACCAAGGCGACGACGGGUAGCCGGCCUGAGAGGGCGACCGGCCACACUGGGACUGAGACACGGCCCAGACUCCUACGGGAGGCAGCAGUGGGGAAUAUUGCACAAUGGGCGAAAGCCUGAUGCAGCGACGCCGCGUGAGGGAUGACGGCCUUCGGGUUGUAAACCUCUUUCAGCAGGGAAGAAGCGAAAGUGACGGUACCUGCAGAAGAAGCGCCGGCUAACUACGUGCCAGCAGCCGCGGUAAUACGUAGGGCGCAAGCGUUGUCCGGAAUUAUUGGGCGUAAAGAGCUCGUAGGCGGUCUGUCACGUCGGAUGUGAAAGCCCGGGGCUUAACCCCGGGUCUGCAUUCGAUACGGGCAGACUAGAGUGUGGUAGGGGAGAUCGGAAUUCCUGGUGUAGCGGUGAAAUGCGCAGAUAUCAGGAGGAACACCGGUGGCGAAGGCGGAUCUCUGGGCCAUUACUGACGCUGAGGAGCGAAAGCGUGGGGAGCGAACAGGAUUAGAUACCCUGGUAGUCCACGCCGUAAACGGUGGGAACUAGGUGUUGGCGACAUU